RNAcentral lists this ribosomal RNA (343 nucleotides) under uncultured Pseudomonadota bacterium. RNAcentral describes it as "bacterial SSU rRNA". It matches the Rfam family "Bacterial small subunit ribosomal RNA", at positions 29 to 351 of the family's 1533-position model. Lineage: Bacteria; Pseudomonadati; Pseudomonadota. The record is from RNAcentral.
AAUGAACGCUGGCGGCGUGCUUAACACAUGCAAGUCGUACGAGAAAUCCUUGGCUUGCCAGGGAGAGUAAAGUGGCGCACGGGUGAGUAUCGCGUGGGUAAUCUACCCCUGGAUUCAGGAUAACACUUCGAAAGGGGUGCUAAUACUGGAUAACAUCCUGAUGGUUUAGGCCAUAAGGAUCAAAGAUAGCCUCUACAUGUAAGCUAUUGUACAGGGAUGAGCCCGCGUACCAUUAGCUAGUUGGUGGGGUAAGGGCCUACCAAGGCAACGAUGGUUAGCUGGUCUGAGAGGAUGAUCAGCCACACUGGAACUGAAACACGGUCCAGACUCCUACGGGAGGCAG